CCUGAAAAUAACCAAUAGAAUUGCUAUUUGCCA
This 33-nucleotide small RNA is filed under the name Bombyx mori (domestic silkworm). RNAcentral's name for it is "ovarian small RNA-13993". Lineage: Eukaryota; Metazoa; Arthropoda; Insecta; Lepidoptera; Bombycidae. The record is from RNAcentral.